CCUUCAUGAAGCUGGAAUUGCUAGUAAUGGCAGGUCAGCAUACUGCCGUGAAUACGUUCCCGGGCCUUGUACACACCGCCCGUCACACCAUGAGAGUUGGGAAUACCCGAAGCCUGUGAGCUAACAUAUGAGGCAGCAGUCGAAGGUAGAAUCAAUGAUUGGGGUGAAGUCGUAACAAGGUAAC
Molecule: ribosomal RNA, 184 nt
Filed under: uncultured bacterium
Lineage: Bacteria
Description: partial 16S ribosomal RNA
Rfam family: Bacterial small subunit ribosomal RNA
Source: RNAcentral